RNAcentral lists this transfer RNA (126 nucleotides) under Candidatus Haloredivivus sp. G17. It matches the Rfam family "tRNA". Rfam says of the family: Transfer RNA (tRNA) molecules are approximately 80 nucleotides in length. Their secondary structure includes four short double-helical elements and three loops (D, anti-codon, and T loops). The record is from Rfam by way of RNAcentral. Lineage: Archaea; Methanobacteriati; Methanobacteriota; Candidatus Nanohaloarchaea.
GCCGCAUUAGCUCAGCGGUAGAGCGCGUCCUUGGUAACACCUGGUUCUUCUAGAACUGGGUCAGAGAAGCUCUAGGCUUCGAAAACAAAUAGGACGAGGCCCCGGGUUCAAAUCCCGGAUGUGGCU